RNAcentral lists this ribosomal RNA (297 nucleotides) under Triticum aestivum (bread wheat). Its description in RNAcentral is "partial small subunit ribosomal RNA". It matches the Rfam family "Eukaryotic large subunit ribosomal RNA", at positions 1890 to 2184 of the family's 3401-position model. The record is from RNAcentral. Lineage: Eukaryota; Viridiplantae; Streptophyta; Magnoliopsida; Poales; Poaceae.
AUGGAACAAUGUAGGCAAGAGAAGUCGGCAAAACGGAUCCAUAACUUCGGGAAAAGGAUUGGCUCUGAGGACUGGGCUCGGGGGUCCCGGCCCCGAACCCGUCGGCUGUCGGCGGAUUGCUCGAGCUGCUCACGCGGCGAGAGCGGGUCGCCGCGUGCCGGCCGGGGGACGGACCGGGAAUCGCCCCUUCGGGGGCUUUCCUCGAGCAUGAAACAGUCGACUCAGAACUGGUACGGACAAGGGGAAUCCGACUGUUUAAUUAAAACAAAGCAUUGUGAUGGUCCUCGCGGAUGCUGA